GAUGGUCUCGGGGCAGGAACGGGGCUCCAGCGCAAGGGAAAGGCUUCGCCAUGGCUAGCUACUUUCCUCACAUCUGGCUCCCACGACGUCCGUGGAGCAGCAGCCGCACCAGUUCAUAUCUCGGGCUUGGAAUUUCUACACGAGAAUCACAGGGCAACGAGAUAAACCUGAACACCUUAGCUCUAGACGGUGUCAAAGUUAUGGAAGAACGCUUAGCGGAUGAGCUAAGUGCCAUAUGCAACUGGUGAUUUGAACUCGAAGGGCUUAGUUCUCAAGGAAAAAGUAUGGUUGGGUAUCACAAUGACAUCAACGUGCUACAACGCUCUCUGACAUUUGGAAGGCUUGCAGAAGACAAUUGCCUAGAGGUGAACUUUGAGCUCAACAACCACCACUACAACAAAGGAUACUCCCUAGCUCAUGAUAUCUAUCCUCAUUGAUCAACUCUUGUGAAGACAAUCUCCAAUCCGAUAGUAGAGAAGAGGUCUAGGUUUGCCCAAGCACAAGAGUUCAUCCAAUUUCAUACAGAAAUACAUGAUGUAUCUGUGGGCUCAUCUUGGUUGAGCACAUGUGGGCUCACAUU
Molecule: long non-coding RNA, 580 nt
Organism: Triticum dicoccoides
Lineage: Eukaryota; Viridiplantae; Streptophyta; Magnoliopsida; Poales; Poaceae
Exons: 3
Source: RefSeq, a predicted model, not a curated record